Molecule: ribosomal RNA, 822 nt
Filed under: uncultured bacterium
Lineage: Bacteria
Description: bacterial SSU rRNA
Rfam family: Bacterial small subunit ribosomal RNA
Source: RNAcentral
AGAACGAACGCUGGCGGCAUGCCUAACACAUGCAAGUCGAACGAAGGCUUCGGCCUUAGUGGCGCACGGGUGAGUAACGCGUGGGAAACUGCCCAUCAGUGGGGAAUAACAGCGGGAAACUGCUGCUAAUACCGCAUACGCCCUUCGGGGGAAAGAUUUAUCGCUGAUGGAUGUGCCCGCGUACGAUUAGGUAGUUGGUGGGGUAAAGGCCUACCAAGCCGACGAUCGUUAGCUGGUCUGAGAGGAUGAUCAGCCACACUGGGACUGAGACACGGCCCAGACUCCUACGGGAGGCAGCAGUGGGGAAUAUUGGACAAUGGGCGAAAGCCUGAUCCAGCAAUGCCGCGUGAAUGAUGAAGGCCUUAGGGUUGUAAAGUUCUUUCGGGUGGGACGAUGAUGACGGUACCACCAGAAGAAGCCCCGGCUAACUUCGUGCCAGCAGCCGCGGUAAUACGAAGGGGGCUAGCGUUGUUCGGAAUUACUGGGCGUAAAGCGCACGCAGGCGGCUCGUUAAAUUAGAAGUGAAAGCCCUGGGCUCAACCCGGGAAUUGCUUUCAAGACUGGCGAGCUUGAAUCCGGAAGAGGGUAGUGGAAUUCCCAGUGUAGAGGUGAAAUUCGUAGAUAUUGGGAAGAACACCAGUGGCGAAGGCGACUACCUGGUCCGGCAUUGACGCUCAUGUGCGAAAGCGUGGGGAGCAAACAGGAUUAGAUACCUGGUAGUCCACGCCGUAAACGAUGAGUGCUAGUUGUUGGGGUACAUGUACUUCAGUGACGCAGCUAACGCAUUAAGCACUCCGCCUGGGGAGUACGGCCGCAAGGUUA